UGAAAGAAAUGGGUUUGAAUGCUUGCAGAUUUUCAGUCUCAUGGCCUCAAAUAUUGCCAAUUUUCAUUGGCCAUACCCUUUCAAUCAACCAGCGGAAUUCGAGGUGAGAGGUUAGUUAAACUUUUUUCAACUUGCUGUACUAUUUAUGGUCACUUCUGCAUUUGUUGGCCAUUUGGGAGAGGUGGAGCUGGCUGCUGUUUCUAUUAUUCAGAAUGUAAUUGAAGGCUUUAUUUAUGGGGCUGACGGUAAGUAAUGGGUAUUUGUUGAUUUCUGGAUAUUUUUUUUUAUUUUCUGUUCUAUUUGGUGAUCUCAUAUGGAAUGGGUUUUUCAUAUUUGUUUGAAAUGAAGUUUUCAAACUCUCUAUAGGGCUCGGCUAACUCUAUUUGCUUGAUUUUGUUGUUCAGAGUGAUUAUUAGUUACUAUUAGAAAUGGUUGGUCAGUCCUUUGGUACAAGAUCUAUGUUCCUUGACUACAGGGAUGAGGUUUGCUUCUUUGAUCAUGGAUUUGGAGCCACCUACCGAUUCUUACUCUCACUUUCGUUGCCAACCAACAGGACAGACUGAUUAUGUGAUUUGCAGUACUGGAGCUGUGGGUGUUUGACCCAGUCUAUAUGUGUGUUAGUGAUCUACUUAGUAUGGCUACUGAUAUUACUUGGCUUGAUUUUUAAGUGAAUCCUGCCUCCAACAUCCUAUUGAGUUUCAUUGCUUAUCAUUUACUAAUGCUUUAUUCACAUUGUAUCACAAUAGUGAAAUUCUGAUGCUCAAACUUUAGAAGAACCCUGUACUUGAAUAUAGACAUUUAUUAGGAGCUCCCAGGAUGGAACAAAUUCUCUAGAGACACGUGUUCAUGGCCUGGAAAUGGCAUUGGAUGAAAUUUCAUAUGACUUGGCAUUAUCAAGUGGAGGGAUUCCCAAUAACUGCCUGGUGCGGUCUUGAGUUCCAAGUCCUGGAGGAGAACAGAAGUUUGGUAUUCUUCUUCAAGGUUCUAUGAGCAUGCAAUCGCCGCAUGCUGCACGAAACAUUUACAGUAAAGAUGCCAGCACUGAAAUAUUCAAUGCAAAUAGCCAAAGAUUUCAUCAUCAAAACUGGAGUGGAUUCACCUAGAGAAAUGUCAAAUAACGUAAUCUAAGAUGAGACACAAGUUAAAAAAGCCAGCGCACGUGAACUUAUGCAGCAGGUAAAUUAGAUAUCUAAAGUUUAUGCUCUCUGUAUUUGUAUUUUCCUAUUGUCAAAACUUUGCUUUGUAUAUUCUAUCCUACCACCAUUGAAAGCUCAGCAAACGUGUCCUACCUUGUUGAUGACCAAUCAACUCUGGUCAUUUGUUGAUAGACGAAGGUGAAGCAUUCAUUUAUUGUCAUCCAACCACUUAGAGUUGUGCCUCUCCGACUUUCCUUUUUCAAACUUUUGUUUAAUUAUUUUGUUAGGACUUUUGGAGAAUCUUCCAUUUAUCCAUCCUACUCUAUUUCAGACCACAUACAACCAUCCAUGGCUGUCAUCCCAUGAACAAUUUUUGUUUUGGGUAUUAUUUAUGAAUAAUUUACUAAAAAAACAUGUAUAUGGAUGAUGAAUCUUCUACCCAUGACCACAGACUUUUACCAUUUUAACCCCAUUUGAUCAGCAAUAUACUUCAAAUUGAGGGGCAAAAAAUUUCAAAACAUUCCUUUUUUUUAGAGUUUUGCCAAAUUGUAGCUUAAAAUUCUCCCUCUACUUUCUACAUCAUUUCAUUUGUCCUGCCUUCACUUUCUUACCAAAAUUAGCUAUGAUUUUUAAAAGGAUUACAUCUAUAUAUCUUUAUAUCUGGAAAAGUAAUAAGCAGAGUGUUUUGCAUGAUCAAUUAGUUGGAUUUCUCUUUCAAAAAAUAGGAAAAUCUGUUUGGGUUAUUGUCGCAAUCUUUUUUAUACUAUAUCUUUGUCUAGUUAAUGUCGUCUCUAAUUCAAGCUUUCAAGUGUUCAAAACUUCGUAGCAGUGAAUAUCACUACUAUACAAGGCCUCCAGGCUGAUGGCCACUUCUUGGAAAGUCUCAUUUUCAGGAUACUUUAUCAUCAAACACAAGGACAGAUACCAUCCAUCACUCUCAUCAUCAAUAACUCAAAACAUCUAUUACAACUAAAAACAUAUUUUAUCACAAAGUUUCAACACAGAUCACACCAUGUCCGUACAUGUAAUUCCUGAUGACACAUCAAGAAAAAAUAUAACUAGUUAUAAGUAACAAUUCCUGAAGAUAUGUAAGGUAAAUUGAGCAAGGAUAUAUGUACAUGCAUAACUUGUAGAGAGACCUGGAGGAAGGCAUUCAUAUGUCUUAUCAGAAGGUACGUACCCCACCUGAAGAUGAGGCUACAUAGAGACUCACAGGUCAAUUCCAAUUAAGUAGUUCUUCUAUCAUUUGCAUUGCAAUUCUAUCCUCUUCAUCAUCCAUACUAUUUCCUGGUUCCAUCCCAACCGCUGGUGAUGAUGAUGACAGUGACGAUCCAUCCUCCAUCACUUGUGUUUUCUUGUUUCCAAGCUCUACCUUCAUGACCCAAUUUGAUCUCGAAUGAGACCCAGCUCCCUUUUGCCACACUCCAAUAUGAGAGUUGUCGUUGUCAAGCCUUAAACAAGUGAGUGAAGCAGGGGAAGGGUCUUUGCAACACUUGCGAAGCUUGGUGUGGAGCAGCUCAGAGAGAGCCUGGGGAGGCAAUGGAGACUGAUCAUUAUUAUUGCAGUGAUGAGGAUUAAUUCCUGUCUCUUCCAGGUCACCUCUAGGGAAAUUUGUCUUGGCAUUUUGACCAUUCAUGAGUAUAGCUGCUUGGUCGUAAGCUCUUGCUGCUGCCUCAGCUGUCUCAAAUGUGCCUAGCCAUAUCCUCCUCUUCCUACACACACCCACCAAAAAAAAAGGAAAAAGACAUGGCAAUGCAAGAUCAGAAACACCUUCCAUAAAAUCUAGCUAGAAUGAUGAAUGUGCGCCUGCAGGGUAACUAGCAAUUUUGUAUUUAUAACUAGCCUGGAGCCACAUGAAUAUUUAAUAAGUAAGACAUGCAAUAUAGUGUAAUAAUGUGAGUGGGUGAGCUUACAGUAAAGGGUGGCGAAUUUCAGAGACCCAGGAGCCCCACUGGCGUUGCCUGACGCCUCUGAAUUUCUUUGAUUGUACCAUAUCUUUAUAUGGAGAUGAGAGUGAGAAAUUUGCAGAGAAAGAGAGAGAUAGAGAGAUUGAUAAUUAAAUUGGAGAGAUGAUGAUGACGAUGAUGAAGUUUUUAAGUGUUUUAAUACAGAGGGCUUAUUGAACAUGAAAAGUGGACAGCUUACUAAAUAUAUAAGAGAGAUUAUGUGAGCUUUGUCGGUGAAUGGAUAGAAAAGUCUAAAGUUGCAAUAAAGAUUUCACCUACACAGCACUAUGCAAAAACCUUUGCCUUCUUAACAACUAAAUAAAUGAUCUCUAUUCCAC
This 3420-nucleotide unclassified non-coding RNA is filed under the name Hevea brasiliensis (rubber tree). Lineage: Eukaryota; Viridiplantae; Streptophyta; Magnoliopsida; Malpighiales; Euphorbiaceae. The record is from RNAcentral.